AACGAACGCUGGUGGCAUGCCUAAUACAUGCAAGUCGAACGAGAAAGUACUUCGGUACGAGUACAGUGGCGCACGGGUGAGUAACGCGUAGGUGACAUGCCUUUUAGUGGGGGACAACAUCGUGAAAACGGUGCUAAUACCGCAUAAGCUCAAAGUAUUGAAAAAAUUGAGGAAAGGGGGCUUCGGCUCUCGCUGAAAGAUUGGCCUGCGUAGCAUUAGCUUGUUGGUGGGGUAAUGGCCUACCAAGGCUACGAUGCUUAACUGGUCUGAGAGGAUGAUCAGUCACACUGGAACUGAGACACGGUCCAGACUCCUACGGGAGGCAGCAGUAGGGAAUAUUGCGCAAUGGGGGAAACCCUGACGCAGCAAUGCCACGUGAGUGAGGAAGGUCUUCGGAUUGUAAAGCUCUGUCCUAUAGGAAGAACUGCAUUAUGGUUAAUACCCAUAGUGUUUGACGGUACUAUAGAAGAAAGCACCGGCUAACUCCGUGCCAGCAGCCGCGGUAAUACGGAGGGUGCAAGCGUUGUUCGGAUUUAUUGGGCGUAAAGCGCGCGCAGGCGGAUUGACAAGUCAGAUGUGAAAUCUCGAGGCUUAACCUCGAAACUGCGUCUGAAACUGUUGAUCUAGAAUCUCAGAGAGGGUAGGGGAAUUUCACGUGUAGGGGUAAAAUCCGUAGAGAUGUGAAGGAACACCGGAGGCGAAGGCGCCUACCUGGAUGAGUAUUGACGCUGAGGCGCGAAAGCGUGGGGAGCAAACAGGAUUAGAUACCCUGGUAGUCCACGCCGUAAACGAUGAGUACUAGUUCUUGGGGGUAUUGACUCCUUCAGGGACGCAGCUAACGCAUUAAGUACUCCGCCUGGGAAGUACGGUCGCAAGACUAAAACUCAAAGGAAUUGACGGGGGCCCGCACAAGCGGUGGAUUAUGUGGUUUAAUUCGAAGCAACGCGCAGAACCUUACCUAGGCUUGAAAUCCUACGAAUCUGGAGUAAUGUCCGGAGUGCCCGCAAGGGAAUGUAGUGACAGGUGCUGCAUGGCUGUCGUCAGCUCGUGUUGUGAAAUGUUGGGUUAAGUCUCGCAACGAGCGCAACCCCUAUCUUUAGUUGCCAGCAUUAAGUUGGGCACUCUAGAGAGACUGCCUGGGUUAACCAGGAGGAAGGUGGGGAUGACGUCAAGUCCUCAUGGCCCUUAUGCCUAGGGCUACACACGUAAUACAAUGGCGUACACAGAGGGACGCGAUCGGGUGACCGUUAGCAAAUCUCAAAAAGUGCGUCUCAGUCCGGAUUGGAGUCUGCAACUCGACUCCAUGAAGUUGGAAUCGCUAGUAAUCGCGGAUCAGCACGCCGCGGUGAAUACGUUCCCGGGCCUU
Molecule: ribosomal RNA, 1366 nt
Filed under: uncultured prokaryote
Description: partial 16S ribosomal RNA
Rfam family: Bacterial small subunit ribosomal RNA
Source: RNAcentral